UACGGAGGAUCCAAGCGUUAUCCGGAUUUAUUGGGUUUAAAGGGUGCGUAGGCGGCUUAUUAAGUCAGGGGUGAAAGACGGUGGCUCAACCAUCGCAGUGCCUUUGAUACUGAUGAGCUUGAAUACACUUGAGGUAGGCGGAAUGUGACAAGUAGCGGUGAAAUGCAUAGAUAUGUCACAGAACACCAAUUGCGAAGGCAGCUUACUAAGGUGCAAUUGACGCUGAGGCACGAAAGCGUGGGGAGCGAACAGG
This 253-nucleotide ribosomal RNA is filed under the name uncultured bacterium. Its description in RNAcentral is "partial 16S ribosomal RNA". It matches the Rfam family "Bacterial small subunit ribosomal RNA", at positions 524 to 776 of the family's 1533-position model. The record is from RNAcentral.